UACCAGGAAUUUUUGAGGCCAUAGUGCUU
This 29-nucleotide non-coding RNA is filed under the name Mus musculus (house mouse). The record is from RNAcentral. Lineage: Eukaryota; Metazoa; Chordata; Mammalia; Rodentia; Muridae.